UACGGAGGGUGCAAGCGUUAUCCGGAUUUACUGGGUUUAAAGGGUGCGUAGGUGGGUAGGUAAGUCAGUGGUGAAAUCUUCAAGCUUAACUUGGAAACUGCCAUUGAUACUAUUUAUCUUGAAUACUUUGGAGGUAAGCGGAAUAUGUCAUGUAGCGGUGAAAUGCUUAGAUAUGACAUAGAACACCAAUUGCGAAGGCAGCUUACUACACAGUUAUUGACGCUGAGGCACGAAAGCGUGGGGAUCAAACAGG
This 253-nucleotide ribosomal RNA is filed under the name uncultured bacterium. RNAcentral's name for it is "partial 16S ribosomal RNA". It matches the Rfam family "Bacterial small subunit ribosomal RNA", at positions 524 to 776 of the family's 1533-position model. The record is from RNAcentral.